GUUCUCAAAAGAGUUGUCUGGCCCUGGCCGGUUUGGCUCAGCGAUUAGAGCGUUGGCCCUUGAACCAGAGCCCACGGAGGGAGUGUGCAGAGAGAGGUCUGAGGACUACUCGCUAGGCACCCUUCAAGUUCAAGAGUUCAGGAAGGGGAGGAAGAAGCAGCAAAGGAGACUGAGCAGGUGCGGCCAGCAGCAGCCGGGAGCCAGAAGAGCACUGGAACAUGACCCCAACCAGGGCCGGGGACAAACUGCAGCCGAGAGUGAGAAGGCCCACCAGAGUUCUUCAAUAUUGGGAUUCUGUGUUGAGUUGAAAGAAGCAACUACGCCCACAAUAGUGGGAUCUUCUACAUUUGAUGAACUAAGCAGAUUCUUACCAUCAGAGAAGGAAACUUUAGAAGGGCGAUGAAGGUCAUAGUACCCAUUCAGACUUGAGAUUUCAAAGGAAACCUACAGACCUAAAGGAGGACGGUCGAGAACCGAAUUGUUCGAGAACCGAAGCAAUGAAACCAAU
Molecule: long non-coding RNA, 508 nt
Organism: Molossus molossus (Pallas's mastiff bat)
Lineage: Eukaryota; Metazoa; Chordata; Mammalia; Chiroptera; Molossidae
Exons: 3
Source: RefSeq, a predicted model, not a curated record